This is a non-coding RNA of Dendrothele bispora CBS 962.96, 102 nucleotides long. The record is from the annotation of a GenBank genome assembly. Lineage: Eukaryota; Fungi; Basidiomycota; Agaricomycetes; Agaricales.
GUCCCUGUCGAUUAGUGGUUAAAUCAUCACGUUGUGGUAAAGGGAUUGGGAGCUCUAAUUAUGGCAACCGUGGAGCCGGGAGCUCGAAUCUCCCCAGGGACA